AGAAAAUUCUUAGAUGUGCUGGAUGUUUUGAUUCAUGAUGGCAAACAGGCUGAGAAGGAGCCAGGAGGACAACUCUAUGGUGCUGUUAUACUGUCUGCAUGCCAAUGCAACUCUGCUGAAGCACCAGGAAUCCUACAGGGGCUGCGUUGCCUUUGCCAGAGGAGAGCAAGGCAACACUCCAGUUCUCCAAGAAAAAACAAAGUAUAAAAGCAAACUCGAGAAUUACUGACAAACCUAAAAGAUAUUUCAAAUGGUGGGAAGAUGGCAUCCAGCUGAUAUAAGAGAAGGAACGAACAACCCUGCAAACCACUGGCAUGUGUAUAUCGACAUCCAAAAAUACACCCGGACAGCGCAUCUGAAAACUGCGUGUAAGAGAAGGAGGAUGGCUCUCCCCAAACCUUGUAUUCUGCUGGACCUGAUGCGUGGGCCUGUGGCAGCGCUGCUCUGUGUCAGGAGCCUAACCCCAUGCAAAGCCUCUGAAGGUACAAAGUUAAAAUCCUUACUCUCCUCUGGCUGACUGUGCACGAGUUAUUCUUCUGCUAUUGUGCAAAUAAAGUGGCAUUAAGAGAUGGAGGGUAGAAUGCU
RNAcentral lists this long non-coding RNA (585 nucleotides) under Anser brachyrhynchus (Pink-footed goose). Its description in RNAcentral is "lncRNA (ENSABRG00000005771.1)". The record is from RNAcentral. Lineage: Eukaryota; Metazoa; Chordata; Aves; Anseriformes; Anatidae.